GGUGGGAGGCUUUGAAGCGUGGACGCCAGUCUGCGUGGAGCCAACCUUGAAAUACCACCCUUUAAUGGCUGGUGUUCUAACGUAGACCCGUUACCCGGGUUGCGGACAGUGUCUGGUGGGUAGUUUGACUGGGGCGGUCUCCUCCCAAAGAGUAACGGAGGAGCACGAAGGUUGGCUAAUCCUGGUCGGACAUCAGGAGGUUAGUGCAAUGGCAUAAGCCAGCUUGACUGCGAGCGUGACGGCGCGAGCAGGUGCGAAAGCAGGUCAUAGUGAUCCGGUGGUUCUGAAUGGAAGGGCCAUCGCUCAACGGAUAAAAGGUACUCCGGGGAUAACAGGCUGAUACCGCCCAAGAGUUCAUAUCGACGGCGGUGUUUGGCACCUCGAUGUCGGCUCAUCACAUCCUGGGGCUGAAGUAGGUCCCAAGGGUAUGGCUGUUCGCCAUUUAAAGUGGUACGCGAGCUGGGUUUAGAACGUCGUGAGACAGUUCGGUCCCUAUCUGCCGUGGGCGCUGGAGAAUUGAGGGGGGCUGCUCCUAGUACGAGAGGACCGGAGUGGACGCAUCACUGGUGUUCGGGUUGUCAUGCCAAUGGCACUGCCCGGUAGCUAAAUGCGGAAGAGAUAAGUGCUGAAAGCAUCUAAGCACGAAACUUGCCCCGAGAUGAGUUCUCCCUGAGAC
Molecule: ribosomal RNA, 676 nt
Filed under: Enterobacter hormaechei
Lineage: Bacteria; Pseudomonadati; Pseudomonadota; Gammaproteobacteria; Enterobacterales; Enterobacteriaceae
Description: partial 23S ribosomal RNA
Rfam family: Bacterial large subunit ribosomal RNA
Source: RNAcentral